UGGACCAAUGAUGAGCACAGGUGGCGUAUGAAUUAGGGAUGAUGAAUAUACAUGUCUGGAAGUCUGAGGUCCAA
Small nucleolar RNA from Choloepus hoffmanni (Hoffmann's two-fingered sloth), 74 nucleotides. NCBI's taxonomy places the organism in Eukaryota, Metazoa, Chordata, Mammalia, Pilosa, Megalonychidae. The record is from Ensembl.